Molecule: ribosomal RNA, 708 nt
Filed under: uncultured bacterium
Lineage: Bacteria
Description: bacterial SSU rRNA
Rfam family: Bacterial small subunit ribosomal RNA
Source: RNAcentral
CCUGCCUCAUACAGGGGGAUAACAGUUAGAAAUGACUGCUAAUACCGCAUAAGACCACAGCACCGCAUGGUGCGGGGGUAAAAACUCCGGUGGUAUGAGAUGGACCCGCGUCUGAUUAGCUAGUUGGUAAGGUAACGGCUUACCAAGGCGACGAUCAGUAGCCGACCUGAGAGGGUGACCGGCCACAUUGGGACUGAGACACGGCCCAAACUCCUACGGGAGGCAGCAGUGGGGAAUAUUGCACAAUGGGGGAAACCCUGAUGCAGCGACGCCGCGUGAGCGAAGAAGUAUUUCGGUAUGUAAAGCUCUAUCAGCAGGGAAGAAAAUGACGGUACCUGACUAAGAAGCACCGGCUAAAUACGUGCCAGCAGCCGCGGUAAUACGUAUGGUGCAAGCGUUAUCCGGAUUUACUGGGUGUAAAGGGAGCGUAGACGGAUGGGCAAGUCUGAUGUGAAAACCCGGGGCUCAACCCCGGGACUGCAUUGGAAACUGUUCAUCUAGAGUGCUGGAGAGGUAAGUGGAAUUCCUAGUGUAGCGGUGAAAUGCGUAGAUAUUAGGAGGAACACCAGUGGCGAAGGCGGCUUACUGGACAGUAACUGACGUUGAGGCUCGAAAGCGUGGGGAGCAAACAGGAUUAGAUACCCUGGUAGUCCACGCCGUAAACGAUGACUACUAGGUGUCGGGUGGCAAAGCCAUUCGGUGCCGCAG